RNAcentral lists this ribosomal RNA (484 nucleotides) under uncultured bacterium. Its description in RNAcentral is "partial 16S ribosomal RNA". It matches the Rfam family "Bacterial small subunit ribosomal RNA", at positions 30 to 507 of the family's 1533-position model. The record is from RNAcentral.
AUUGAACGCUGGCGGCAGGCCUAACACAUGCAAGUCGAGCGGAUGAGGGGAGCUUGCUCCCUGAUUUAGCGGCGGACGGGUGAGUAAUGCCUAGGAAUCUGCCUGGUAGUGGGGGAUAACGUUCCGAAAGGAACGCUAAUACCGCAUACGUCCUACGGGAGAAAGCAGGGGACCUUCGGGCCUUGCGCUAUCAGAUGAGCCUAGGUCGGAUUAGCUAGUUGGUGAGGUAAUGGCUCACCAAGGCGACGAUCCGUAACUGGUCUGAGAGGAUGAUCAGUCACACUGGAACUGAGACACGGUCAAGACUCCUACGGGAGGCAGCAGUGGGGAAUAUUGGACAAUGGGCGAAAGCCUGAUCCAGCCAUGCCGCGUGUGUGAAGAAGGUCUUCGGAUUGUAAAGCACUUUAAGUUGGGAGGAAGGGCUGCUGGUUAAUACCCUGCAGUUUUGACGUUACCAACAGAAUAAGCACCGGCUAACUUCGUG